Xyrauchen texanus (razorback sucker) is the source of this 245-nucleotide long non-coding RNA. RefSeq lists it as uncharacterized. The record is from RefSeq and is a predicted model, not a curated record. Lineage: Eukaryota; Metazoa; Chordata; Actinopteri; Cypriniformes; Catostomidae. The transcript has 4 exons.
GUUUUGCAUAAUUUUUUUCCAGACAACUUGCAGAAGCAGUGGCUAAUGGACCGUGGGUGGAGAAGACGGGCAAAGAUUUUGAUCCAUUUCCAGUUCAGUCAGAUGGACAGAGCUGUGGGAUAUUCAUGCUUAUGUAUGCCCUCUGCAUCUGUACUGGUGCCAUGUUUCACUUUUUGGACACUGACAUACCAUCUAUUCGGAAGUGGUGGUGUCUCCAGAUUCUGGAGAAAUUCUCAAUCGCAAGG